RNAcentral lists this ribosomal RNA (456 nucleotides) under uncultured bacterium. RNAcentral describes it as "bacterial SSU rRNA". It matches the Rfam family "Bacterial small subunit ribosomal RNA", at positions 340 to 786 of the family's 1533-position model. The record is from RNAcentral.
UACGGGAGGCAGCAGUGGGGAAUAUUGCACAAUGGGCGAAAGCCUGAUGCAGCUAUGCCGCGUGUAUGAAGAAGGCCUUAGGGUUGUAAAGUACUUUCAUCGGGGAGGAAAAACAAAACUAAUAAUUUUAUUUCUUGACGUUACCCGAAAAAGAAGCACCGGCUAACUCCGUGCCAGCAGCCGCGGUAAUACGGAGGGUGCUAGCGUUAAUCAGAAUUACUGGGCGUAAAGAGCACGUAGGUGGUUUUUUAAGUUCAGAUGUGAAAUCCCUGGGCUUAACCUAGGAACUGCAUUUUGAAACUGAAAUACUAGAGUAUCGUAGAGGGAGGUAGAAUUCUAGGUGUAGCGGUGAAAUGCGUAGGAUAUCUGGAGGAAUACCUGUGGCGAAAGCGGCCUCCUAAACGAAUACUGACACUGAGGUGCGAAAGCGUGGGGAGCAAACAGGGAUUAGAUACC